Molecule: ribosomal RNA, 426 nt
Filed under: uncultured bacterium
Lineage: Bacteria
Description: bacterial SSU rRNA
Rfam family: Bacterial small subunit ribosomal RNA
Source: RNAcentral
GUGGGGAAUAUUGCACAAUGGGGGGAACCCUGAUGCAGCGACGCCGCGUGAAGGAAGAAGGUAUUCGUAUUGUAAACUUCUGUCGCAGAUGACGAAAAGAUGACGGUAAUCUGUAAGAAAGCACCGGCUAACUACGUGCCAGCAGCCGCGGUAAAACGUAGGGUGCUAGCGUUGUCCGGAAUUACUGGGUGUAAAGGGAGCGCAGGUGGCAGUGCAAGUUGGAUGUAAAAUCUACGGGCUCAACCCGUAUAAGCAUUCAAAACUGUGCAGCUUGAGUGAAGUAGAGGUAGGUGGAAUUUCCGGUGUAGCGGUGGAAUGCGUAGAUAUCGGAAGGAACAUCAGUGGCGAAGGCGACCUACUGGGCUUUAACUGACGCUGAGGCUCGAAAGCAUGGGUAGCAAACAGGAUUAGAAACCCUAGUAGUCC